UUUUUUUUUUUUGGAGAUUAAUCAAAUAUCAAAGCAAAAGAGGUUUCUUGGUCUAUUCUCGUUUUAAGUUCUUUGUUUGCUUAUUGUUUUCCUUUCAGUUUUAUUUUGUUUCUUUUAUACGAAAGUAAAAAUAAAAGGAGGAAGCUUUCCCAUUUUUACCGAAAAAGUUUUUUUUGAGGUCCGGCUGCCGUGUACGAUGGCACCGACGGUGGCCGGUGGCAGUCCGGUGACCGGACGGUGACCGGCCUUGUGGCCAGAAAUCACCCACUCUCUCCCUCUUUUUUUGUUAUUAUUAUAUUUUUUAAUAUUAUAUUAUAUAUAUUCUUUUAAUAUAUUAGGUAUAUUCUAAAUUCUAUAUUACGUAUAUAUAUUAUACUAUUUUAUGUAAAUAUCUUUAAUACUAUAUUAUUUAUAUAUAUUUUUUUUUUUCUACAAGUUAUCUUAUGUAUAUAUUUUAAUUAUAUUAUGUAUGUAUUUUUUACACUAUAUUAUGUACAUAUUUUUUUUAUAUCUAUUUCAUACAUAGGUAUAUAUUAUAUAUAUAUAUCUUAACAUUACUAGUUAUAUUUUCACUAUUUUAUGUAUAUACUUCAAACACUGUAUAUAGUAUAUUUCUAACACUAUUACUAUUUAUAAAUAUAUAUAUUUUACGUACAUACUCUUAAUAUCUUUAUUAUGUAUAUAUUCGUUGUUUUUAUUUCACAUUGGAUACUAUUAUUACGUUUAAUAUAUCGCAUGCAUUGUUAUUGUUUUAAUAUUGUUGUCAUAUUUAUUAUUUGUUUCAAUGUAUUUCCAACUCGUUUAUUUUUGUCUCCCGCCUAUUUUAUAUCAUUCUGUUGUUCAUUACUUUAAAGAUUUUUAUUCAUGUUUUUACUAAUUUCAAUAAAUAAGGUAACGUUUCGCAUUUUGGAACAUCGAAGAAUUGUGCCCUAACUUACGGGGUUUCGGUUCUCUUGUUGGUUCUAAAUAGCUAAAUAUCAUUUUGAGUUUUGAAAUGCACGGAUUUCCAAUUUAAAUUAAAAGACGACCUUGUGCUCGGGAAUUCAUGGUAUUGUCUCCUAACUUACGGGAUGUGAUACUCUGAUAUCUCAAGAUAAAGAAAUCUUUAAACAAAUCAAUUUAAACUAAUUCAAGAAUUUUAAAAUCAGUAUUAAUAAAAAAGAUCGUAUUUCAAGUCCCUUCCCGAUUUUUAAUUUUCGACAUUAAGACACUAACUAAUCAAUUCGGUACCAAAUUUUUGGGCGUGUCGAGGGUGCUAAUCCUUCCUCGCACGUAACCGACUCCCGAACUCAUUCUCUCAAGUUUCGUAGACCAAAGGCCUUGUUUUAGUAAACUAAAAUUGAUUUAUUAAAACAAAGGUGAUCUGAUCACACCUGAUAAAAGAUUGGUGGCAACUCCCGUUUUAAUUUUCACUUUCAAACAAAGUCGAUCCCCGUUUUCAAAAGAAUGGUUUCGACAGCUUGGCGACUCCGCUGGGGAAUUCGAGAGUCGAGCCUUAAAUUGAUUAUUUUUUUGUCUUUUGUCAAAAAUCGAAAAUCGAUUUUAAAUUUACUGCAUUGCAUGUUGUCUGUUAUUUUCGCGACUCUCUUCAUAAUAUGCUUGCUUUAAGUGGUUUAAUUCUUUGAGGUAUCUUUGCAUAUCGCAUCGCAUUAUCGGUCGAUUUCACCCUCUUAAGUGGAAGUGAAAAACUACUCCUUCGUGAGGUCUUCACCUCCGUAUAGGAUAGUGGAUCGCUUUCGGGAUACACCCGUACCUGCGUCUUCGUGGGGUUUUCACCUCUGUAUAGCCGUAGGGAAAUGUAUUCCCCUGAAUCGAACUCGGUCUGUAUGAACCUAUAAUGGGUGAGGAUUGAGGAAUCUUCAGGUUCAGGUACCUUUACUUUAGAACCAAACUACAUGUAAUGAGCCCUAGGAGCCUACCCUAGGUAGAACCACACCAAACCCUAGUGGUUACCUGAUUAGGUGCUUAUUUACUCACUAUUUGCUUUGAAUUCUAUUCUUUGUAUAUAAUACUAACUUGUUGUAUUUUGAUCACUUUUUGCAUGACAUUUCAUCAUAAAAGGGUGUUGAUUUACGUUCGGUUACUAAUUACAAGAGUUUAGCAUGGAAAAAGGAUUUCUUGAUAGAAUGGAGGAUAAUGCGGCCGUUCGAGUGUGGUCUGAGAGAACGCAAUAGGAGAAAGGAGAUAGUUUGACCGAGGGAUAUGAAUCGGAGUUGUGGGAUUUCACUCGCAUCAGUGUGACUUAGAACGACCUGCAAGAGUUAAGGGAUAUAUGGAAUAGUUGGAACAGCAAAGUCAAACAAAUCUUUUACUGUAACUACGGCGACCUACCCUAUUUGCUCGAUGUAAAGGUGGACAAGUACUUGUUCCGGGCCCUCGUGCAAUUUUAGAACCCCGCUUACAGUUGCUUCACUUUCGGAGGAGUUGAUUUAGUACCUACGGUGGAGGAAUACAUGGCGUUACUUAAUUGCCCGAAGAUUCAGGCUGAUAGGGCCUAUUCAAGACCUGUUAAUGUCCCUUCCUUUUUAAAGAAAUUGAUGAAUAUCACGGGGAUGAGCGAGUAAUGGGUUGCGACCCGCAUCAAGCAAAAAGGGGAUAGUAAAUGUAUUCCUUGGAGGAAUUUGAGGGAUUUUAUUCUUGCGCACCCGGAUUCGAAGAAAAGGGUUGAUGUUUUUGCCUUAAGUCUCUACGGUUUGAUCGUCUUUCCUAAAGCACUUGGACACAUAGAUGAAGUCGUCUCAGAUUUAUUCGAUCGACUUGAUAAAGAUACCACACUCGUCCCGACAAUCCUAGCAGAAACUUUCCGAUCCUUGAAUACAUGCUAGAGAGCGGGCGAGGGAAGAUUUAUUGGUUGCGCACAGCUUCUUUUGGCUUGGUUCCACAGUCAUUUUUGGAAGGUGGAGAAGGUCUCAUAUUGGGUAUUCUCUAAGGAUUAUUCCCCAUUAAGAGAAUUAGUGGCCACAUCGAGGCGGGACGACAUCUCCGAAGAGAGGUGGAUAACUAUUCUCCAAAAUUUACGGACCGAAGACGUUGAUUAGAGGGCUUCGUGGUUGAUUCUUGACGAGAUCUUAUAUAGGUGCGGUGAUUUUGACUGGGUCCCUCUGGCUAGAAUAUGGGGAGCCAUUGGAUAUGCUCCACUGAUGGUGUUAAGGCAGUAUCGAUCAAGGCAGUUUAUACCGGUGACACAAGGGUUGGUACAAUGUGAGUUCCCUUAUAAAGACAAUAAUUAUAAAAAGAGGGUUCGCGAGAUAUCAGAUGCAUGGAACCAAACUCAAAGAAUGAAAGGAUUCACUACAAGCCCGAUGACGACCCCCGAGUAUGAAUGGUGGUGGGGUAGGAGAGUCAACGACCACAUCCCUAGGUAGAAUCAAGGGAAUACACAACCGAUAGAGGAGCAUUUACGGGUCAUCCCAUCCGAGUUAAGAUCAUUAAGCAAGAUUUUGAGAAAAGAAACUCGGAGUUGGGGAAGAAGAUAGAGUAGCUAGAAGAAGGUAAAAUGAAGUUGGGGCUAGACGUCGAUAUCCACAAGCUAGAGGCUGAGAAGUUAAGGAAAUAAAAGAACAAGGCCGAGGAAGAUUUAGAUAGUUUGAAAACCGAUUACAAGAAGCUUCGUAUAACAAUAAAAACUGUCGGAUUAGGUAAAACGUCGAAACAAUGGCGUCAAGAGAUUAAAGAGGAAAAGACUAGAGGUGACUAUUGGGAGAAAAGAUUUCAAGAUGCCCGAGUACGAGAGGACACUCUGAAGAAGAGUUUGUUAGAAACCCAAAACGAAAAGGAGAAGUUACGAGCUCGGGUGGCUGAAUUGGAAAGAUUACUUCAAUAACAUCGUAACCAUAAUUCGAUAAUUAAGCUAAAGGCUAGUCUGAGCAGGAUCGAAGAGUUGAAAGGGAAAAUAGAAGAACUUGAGACCGCACUACGAGAUAGCAAAAUUUGAGUGGAACUUCUUGAGAUAAACAACGACCAUUACAGAGAACAGCUUCACCACUCUCAAAACCUGAUUAGAGAUAGAGACUGUGUCAUGGGUGAAGCUAUAGCUCAGGUUUGGGAGAUAGCUGAUCACUUGCAAACCUUGGCAGUUCAGGCCGAUAUAUUGAGCUUAAAGUACGAGUUAGAAUUAGACCGAGGCCGAAGCUUAGCUUGGCUUCUUAGGAAAGUUAAGACUUUGGGCAUUAGGGCAAAGUCGUAUAUGUAAUCAUCCGUUCUAUGUAAAGAAAUUUUUCUUCUAGUGAAGUUCUUCUAAUGAAAUUGAAUUGGAAUCAACGUCUCUUUUUGCAUCCAUUCAUCCAUUCAUUACAUAUACAUAUCCCAUAAUCAUUCACUAAGGUUAGAAUCAUAUAAUUUGCAGUUGCAACACUUCAAAUCUAGAACCACGCCAUUCGUAUAAAAUGCGUCGUCAAGCUAGAGCAAUGGAGGCUGAGUUCAAUGAAAGAAUCGAAAGGAUGGAAAGAGUCCAGAAGGAAUUACAAGAACAACUGGCUAAGUCACAGCAAGAAACGAGGGAUUUGAUAGUAAGAUCUCGAGAGGAAUCACUUGAACAAAAGGAUCAAAUGGCUAGAAUGAUGGAGAUGAUAUCAGUUAUGGUCAAAGGAAAAGGACCCAUGCAGAACCCCGACAGUAUGGAACCUCAAUCAAGAAUUAAUCAUGACCAGGAUCCACUCUAUCCCCCAGGAUUCACUCCACCACAUGUCCACGUAGCACAAAGAGGGUAUACUCAAGGGGAAUCCACAGGCUUGGAACAACGACCUAUGCCAUUUGCUCAUCCAGGGCAAGGAACAUUUAUGUUAAAUCCCGGAGCAACCCCUGCCAAUUCUGUAGUUCCAAAUUUAGAUGAUCCAGUCGAAAUAGCCAAGUUGAAAAUAGAUGAUCACGAGGCUCAAGAGAAGUAUAGGAAUUUGGAAGAAAGACUCAAGGCAAUAGAAGGCACUGAAGUCUUCUCGGUACUAGGUGCUAAAGAACUCAGUUUGGUACCUGACCUAAUCCUGCCUCCGAAGUUCAAGGUGCCUGAUUUCGAAAAGUACGAUGGGACAAGAUGUCCAAAAGCACAUCUUGUUAUGUUUUGCCGAAAAAUGACCGGUUACGUGAACGAAGAUAAGCUACUUGUACAUUGUUUUCAAGAUAGUCUAGUAGGAUCGGCUCUUCGGUGGUACAACCAGCUCAGUAAGGAAAGGAUCCGAUCUUGGAAAGACUUGGCGUCGGCAUUCUGUGAGCAGUAUAAGCAUGUAUCAGAUAUGGUGCCUGAUCGGAUGACUUUACAAAUGAUGGAGAAAAAGCCGUUAGAAACUUUUAGACAGUACGCGCAGAGAUGGAGGGACGUCUCAGCCCAAGUGGAACCCCCACUAACGAAAACGGAGAUAACCGUCCUUUUUAUCAACACCUUAAAGACGCCGUUUUAUGACAAACUAGUGGGAAGCGCCACGAAGGACUCCGCGGAUAUUGUAAUAUCCGGUGAGCUUAUAGAGAACACCGUCAAGAGCAGUAGAAUGAAAGGUCAAGAAAGUUCAAGAAGGGUAGCACCCAUCAAGAAGAAAGAACCAGAAGCCCACAUGGUGGGAAUGGGAAGUCGUUAUGCCCCUAAUCUAUAUCCAAACCAACCCCGACCUCAAAGUUAUCCACCUCCAAAUUUCUAUUAUCCCCCUCAAACCCCUUACUACCAAGCACCACCUCCUUCCUACCCCGUAUACGCCACGAAAAACCAAAGACCCGUCACCACAUUCCUACAAAACACGGUACCCGCUCAAAGCCAGCCCAGAAAUGAACCAAGACCAGCAAGGCCUAAUCUCGAGAGACCGCAAUUUACUCCUAUCCCUAUGUCGUAUAGGGAAUUGUACCCAAAACUUUUGGAGAAACAGCUGAUUUCUCCCCUUUACAUGGCACCCCUUAAACCUCCAUACCUAAAGUGGUACGAUCCAAACGCUAGUUGUGCAUACCACGUGGGGAACCAGGGCAUUCCGCGGAGAAUUGCCUAGCCUUUAAGAGGAGAGUUUAAGGACUCAUUGACGCGGGUAUCCUACGGUUCGAUAGUGCCAGUAAUGUAACUGGGAAUCCGUUCCCUAACCAUGCUGAAGGGAAUGUGAGCACAGUGGGAAAAGAGGACGAAUAGAAAGUCAGAAGAUGUGUUUUGGAAAUAAGGACGCCUCUGCAGAAAAUCUGGGAGGUACUAGUUAAGAAAGGAUUGCUUUGUCACCCUGAUAGAAUUCUCGGAGAAGAAGGUCAAAGUUUUUGCAAUUUCCAUGGAAUUGUAGGACACGACAUUCGGUCGUGUGAGGAAUUUAAAAGGUUGCUUCAAGACCGGAUGGAUAAUAAAGAGAUUAAGGUCCUUAACAAGAGGGAAGAGACCAACGAACGAGAAGUAUGCACCUCUGACAACCAGUCAUCAGGUCUCCCUUAUAGCGCGAAUCGAUCGUUAAUAAUUUAUUACGACACGACGAAAGAGCCGGUGAAACCAAAAAUGAUAAUCGAAGUACCGUCUCCUUUCCCGUACAAGGACGACAAAGUCGUACCAUGGAAAUAUGACAUCAAUAUCGUCACACCGGAAGAUGAAAAGCUCAAAACCAUAACUGGAGAUGUUAGAGAGGUAGGUCAUUUUACCCGAAGUGGAAGAUGUUAUUCGAAAAAGGUCGAACUAGUAAAGAAGAACAGUGACUGGAAGCAAAAAGGGAAAGCAGUGAUGCAUGAGGCCGAAGUCAAGCAAGAAAUUCCACCCGUGCAAGAAACUAAAAAGCCUGUGGAUGAGGAGGAAGCACAGGAGUUCUUAAAAUUUAUCAAACACAAUGAAUACAAUGUGGUGGAACAAUUGAAUAAGCAACCAUCACGAAUCUCAAUUUUAUCUCUGCUGCUAAAUUCGGAGCCACACCGGAACGCUUUGCUGAAGGUGUUGAAUCAAGCUUACGUGGCAAACAAUAUAUCCGUGGAGAAGCUGGACAGAUGGGUGAACAACUUGAAUGCAGAUAAUUUCAUUUCUUUUAGUGAUGACGAAAUACCACCCAAUGGUAGAGGCUCUGUAAAAGUACUAUAUGUUACGACUCAUUGCAAGGGCUAUAUAAUACCGAAUGUGCUUAUCGAUAAUGGCCCGACACUCAAUGUUAUGCCUUUGGCCACGCUUUCCAGAAUUCCGAUAGAUCCAUCCUAUUUAAGGCCCUGUCAUUCCACGGUAAGGGCAUUCGAUGGGACAAGGCGUGAAGUUAUGGGAAAGAUUGAUAUCCCUUUAGAAGUGGGCCCUUAUAUUUACAAUGUCGAGUUCCAAGUCAUGGACAUCACACCCUCGUAUAACUGCCUUCUGGGAAGGCCCUGGAUCCAUUCUGCUGGAGCAGUUCCAUCCUCUCUCCAUCAAAAAGUAAAGUUCAUCAUGGAUGGUUGUUUGGUCACUGUCGAGGGAGAAGAAGACAUUAUCGCAUCUAUCUCUGCUGAUGCGCCAUAUCUUGAAGUAAGCAAAGACGCAGUGGAAUGUUCCUUUCGAUCCCUUGAAUUUGUCAAUACCACUUUUGUCGCUGAGGGAAAUAGAAUUUUGAUGCCAAAACUGUCGAGAAAUACCAGAAUGGGUGUCAAGUUGACUGUAGGAAGGGGAGCUUGAGCGAGAAGAGGUUUAGGGAGAUAUCUGCAAGGAAUAGUCAGGGCUCUAAAGCCAGUGCACCACAAGGCCCGAUACAGUUUGGAGUUCCAGCUAGACAUGCAACAAAGAAGAAAAUAGUUACAGAAAGAUCGAGAAAGGCGGAUUGUAAGAGCCUUAGGCCGAGAAUUAGAAUGGGAGCCUAUAACGUACCCUUCUUUGUCAAAAAACAUUUACGUCUGCAGGAAUGAUAUACCCAGGGUAGUAUAGUGCACAAAGCACAAUGUUAAUGAUCGAAGAGGGUUUUUAGAAUAUCAGUAUAAAUGUCAUUGAUAAAGGAGCUAACGCGAGUAAAGAUGUCUCAAAGAUACGCCCUUGUCCCCCGGGUUUCAUGUUGAACAAUUGGACUGCCGAUGAUCUUAUUGUAGUUUAUAAGUCUUCAGAGUAAUGCUCAAACGUUAACAUUCUAUUAUUUCCUUAGAUAUAAUAGAGUUCUUUUGUAAGAGCCUGCAUUCGCUCUUUAUCAUUCAAAUGAAUAUCAAUGAAGAUGCAUUUUGUCAUAAUCUUUCACAUUAUCACUAAUUUCAUAAUCAUUUUUUCCUUUCAUAGCCAAUCCUCACAUUUGCCUCAAGCCAUGCCAUAACAUUUCGUUUGUUGGUUCCAAUACUUGGAUGCCCCUCUAUAGUCUCCUUUUUUAUUCAACUUUCAGGUGCUCAGAUGUCAACAGCAUGAACAAACCCGUUACGAGUCCUGAAAUCGAUUUUGAGAAGGCUGUUUGUUUAGAAGAAUUCGAAGCCGAAGAAAAUGCUGAAGACUAUGUCUCGUCUCCUGACUUGCUAAGAAUGGUGGAACAAGAGGAUAAACAGAUUUUGCCUCAUCAAGAAUCUGUUGAAACAAUAAAUUUGGGAACUGAAGAAAUGAAGCAAGAAGUGAAGAUUGGGACCUCUAUUUCAAGGGGCACCGGGCAUAAUUUGAUUGUUUUUCUCCGCGAGUAUAAAGAUGUAUUCGCAUGGUCAUAUCAAGAAAUGCCAGGAUUGGAUGAAGAUGUAGUGGUUCAUAAGCUCCCGUUAAAACCAGAAUGCAAACCCAUUUAGCAAAAGCUAAGACGGAUGAGACCUGAGAUACUAUUAAAGAUAAAAGAAGAGGUCAAAAAGUAAUUCGAUGCGGGUUCCUUACAAGCUUCCAAAUAUCCAGAAUGGGUUGCUAACAUAGUCCCGGUGCCAAAGAAGGACGAAAAAGUACGAAUGUGUGUGAAUUAUCGUGACCUAAAUCGAGCAAGUCCUAAAGAUAAUUUUUCCUUACCGCACAUUGAUACGUUAGUAGAUAACACAGGAAAACAUUCAUUAUUUUCUUUCAUGGAUGGAUUCUCGGGGUAUAAUCAGAUCAAAAUGGCCCCUGAGGAUAUGGAGAAAACUACCUUCGUAACAAUGUGGGGAACAUUCUGCUACAAGGUAAUACCAUUUGGGCUAAAAAAUGCUAGGGCAACAUAUCAGAGGGAUAUGGUAACGUUAUUCCAUGACAUGAUGCAUAAAGAAAUAGAGGUCUAUGUCGACGAUAUGAUUGCUAAAUCCCGAGGGGAAAAAGAGCAUGUAGUGAACCUGAAGAAGUUGUUCGACAGACUGAGAAAGUUCCAGCUAAAGCUCAAUCCGGCCAAAUGUACGUUUGGGGCUACCUCAGGAAAAUUGCUUGGCUUCAUUGUCAGUGAGAGAGGCAUUGAAGUUGAUCCAGAUAAAAUAAAAGCCAUUCAAGAGUUACCACCUCCGCGCACGCAAAAGGAAGGCAGAGGAUUUUUAGGGAGAUUAAACUACAUCGCCCGAUUUAUAGCUCAACUUACCAAUCAAUGCGACCCAAUCUUUCGACUUCUUCGAAAACAUAAUCCCGGAGAAUGGAACGAAGAGUGCCAAGUGGCUUUUAACAAGAUAAAACAGUAUUUGUCUAGUCCUCUAGUGCUAGUACCACCAAUGCCGGGAAGACCAUUGAUAUUGUAUUUGACUGUGUUCGAGAAUUCAAUGGGUUGCGUACUGGGGCAACAUGACGAGUCCAGAAAGAAAGAAAAGACGAUCUACUACCUCAACAAAAAGUUCACUGAAUAUGAGGCAAAGUAUUCGUCCAUAGAAAAAUACUAUUGUGCUCUGGUUUGGGUAGCUCGGAGAUCCAGGCAAUAUAUGUUGUAUCAUACGACAUGGCUAAUUUCAAAGUUGGACCCAAUAAAAUACAUGAUAGAAUCACCUGCACUCUCAGGAAGAAUGGCACGAUGGCAGUUCUUACUAUCAGAAUAUGAUAUCGUCUAUGUGAGCCAAAAGUCGAUAAAAGGGAGCACAAUAGUUGACUUCUUAGCAACUCGAACAACGGAGGAAUACGAGCCAUUGAGAUUUGAUUUCCCAGAUGAAGACUUGAUGUGCAUUACAGAAAAAGAAUGUGAGUCAUCAAAAGAAAAGUCAUGGAAGAUGAGCUUUGAUGGUGCAUCGAUUGCAUUGGGGCAUGGGAUUGGAGCAGUCUUAGUAUCACCAGAAGGAAACCAUUAUCCGUUCACUGCCAGGUUGAAUUCUGUUGAUACUAAGACCGGGCAAAAUUGGCCUUUCUUUGUGUCUAGCAGUCUAAGUAUGGCCGUUCAAAAAUACCUGGAUGAGAAGAGCACCAAAGAAGUCCAUACUUAGUAAGACCGGGCAAAAUUGACCUUUCUUUGUGUCUUUGCUUUAUUCCCGUUACACGAUAAUAAGCAAAGAGGGGCAGCUGUUGGAGGCCAAUUUUAACCCAUUUACAUCAAAACCCAAUUUAACCUUACCUAACCCACCAAAAUUAAACCCAAAACCCAAAAUCUUAACUACCCAAAGCCCAAUUUACAUCAAAACCCCAAUGGCCCAAACCCUAAGCCUAAAUCAAAAUAAAAAAAAACCCUAGCCCACAACCUAAACUUUUCUCAACUAAAUCCUAGCCUUUGCCACCACCAACUCCACUAGCCACAUUUGCUCCACCACCUACUCCACUAGCCACACUUGCUCCACCACCUACUCCAUUAGCCACACUUGUUCCACCACCACUUGUACCUACAAAUGAAGACAUAAACAAUAAAAAAUAUUUGGUAAAUGGCUAUAUAAGCCUUCUCAUAUUUUGUAUUUAGGGGAGGAAGAAGUUUUAGGGGAGAAAGUUAUUGUAAAGGAUUUUUGAGAGGUUUUUUGAGAGUAAUCAAGGAGAAGAGUUAUUGUAAAGGCUAGUUUUUUUUUUUGGAGAUUAAUCAAAUAUCAAAGCAAAAGAGGUUUCUUGGUCUAUUCUCGUUUUAAGUUCUUUGUUUGCUUAUUGUUUUCCUUUUAGUUUUAUUUUGUUUCUUUUAUACGAAAGUAAAAAUAAAAGGAGGAAGCUUUCCCAUUUUUACCGAAAAAGUUUUUUUGAGGUCCGGCUGCCGUGUACGGUGGCACCGACAGUGGCCGGCGACGGUCCGGUGACCGGACGGUGGUCGGCCUUGUGGCCGGAAAUCACCCACUCUCUCCCUCUCUUCUUUUUGUUAUUAUUAUAUUUUUUAAUAUUAUAUUAUAUAUAUAUUCUUUUAAUAUAUUAGGUAUAUUCUAAAUUCUAUAUUACGUAUAUAUAUUAUACUAUUUUAUGUAUAUACUUCAAACACUAUAUAUAGUAUAUUUCUAACACUAUUACUAUUUAUAAAUAUAUAUAUAUUUUACGUACAUACUCUUAAUAUCUUUAUUAUGUAUAUAUUCGUUGUUUUUAUUUCACAUUGGAUACUAUUAUUACGUUUAAUAUAUCGCAUGCAUUGUUAUUAUUUUAAUAUUGUUGUCAUAUUUAUUAUUUGUUUCAAUGUAUUUCCAACUCGUUUAUUUUUGUCUCCCGCCUAUUUUAUAUCAUUCUGUUGUUCAUUACUUUAAAGAUUUUUAUUCAUGUUUUUACUAAUUUCAAUAAAUAAGGCAAUGUUUUGCAUUUUGGAACAUCGAAGAAUUGUGCCCUAACUUAUGGGGUUUCGGUUCUCUUGUUGGUUCUAAAUAGCUAAAUAUCCUUUUGAGUUUUGAAAUGUACGGAUUUCCAAUUUAAAUUAAAAGACUACCUUGUGCUCGGGAAUUCAUGGUAUUGUCUCCUAACUUACAGGAUGUAAUACUCCGAUAUCUCGAGAUAAAGAAAUCUUUAAACAAAUUGAUUUAAGCUAAUUCAAGAAUUUUAAAAUCAGUAUUAAUAGAAAAGAUCGUAUUUCAAGUCCCUUCCCGAUUUUUAAUUUUCGACAUUAAGACACUAACUAAUCAAUUCGGUACCAAUUUUUUGGGCGUGUCGAGGAUGCUAAUCCUUCCUCGCACGUAACUGACUCCCGAACUCAUUCUCUCAAGUUUCGUAGACCAAAGGCCCUGUUUUAGUAAACUAAAAUUGAUUUAUUAAAACAAAGGUGAUCCGAUCACACCUGAUAAAAGAUUGGUGGCGACUCCCAUUUUAAUUUUCACUUUCAAACAAAGUCGAUCCCCGUUUUCAAAAGAAUGGUUUCGACAAUCUAGAAGGCAAUUCUAUUAAUUUUUUCAAAUGAAUAAUUAUUUUAUGUGGUAGUUUAGAUAAAAGAAAAAAAAUAUUAUUUAAUAAAUAAUUUUUAUAUGAUAAAAUUUGAACUCAUAAGUAAAUCUUUAAGUUAUUUUAGUAGAUAAUUUUAUGAUAUAAUUAUCCUUGACUUGUUUUCGUACAUAUAUAACUAUCCUUAAUGGCGUUUGAUAUCAUAUACCCAAUUUUAUAUAGUAUCAAUAACACUUGAAUUUAAACCCUCACAUUUAAAUAUAUUAAAUUUAAAUUCUAAAUUUUUUUAAUUCGUUAUAAAAUAAUAUUUAACUUAAAAAUAUUUAAAAGAAAUUAUUUAUAUUAACAAAUGUUUGAUGUAGUGGUAAGGCACAUUGGAUUAUUAAAGAAGGGAGAUAUAAGUUUGAAGUUUGUUUGAAGUUUAAACUUUAUAGUUUGUUUGAAGUUUAAACUUUAUAGAUGAUAUUAUUAGAAGAGAUAGCCAUAAAUCCCGAAUAUAAACUGUAAAACAGACAUAAACAAUACCAAAAAAAAAAUUACUUAUGCUAAGAUUGAAAUAAUUUAUAUUCUAUCAAAAAUAUAUAUACUUUUAAUUAGAUAUAACCAUUUUCAACUAUCUUGAAAAUAACCCAAAGUUGUCCAACGAAACCCAAUAUAUUUCAUGCAUCCUCUUGGAAAUUAAUGUUAAAUCAAAAGUGUUUGUUUUAAAAACAUCAAAUAAAAGAUGGAAAAAAAUUUGACAUAAAGAGAAAAAGAGAAAAGGGGCCAAAGAAGAGACAUUGGUGGCAAACAUCAGAAUACCAACCAAAUCCCAUGUUUGCCUACCUUUGUGUGUGUCCAGUGACUUGAAUAGGAUAUAUAUAUAUAUUUGCUUUUACUUACCAUUAUUCUGUUCUUACUUUACUCCAACAUUAUAUAGUGGAAAACAACUUUUCCAGAUUUAGAUAAGACCCAUUUUCUGUUCAUUAUUUAUUUCCUUUGAUCUAUUUCCCUCCUGUAUUUGCUCAUCAUUUAUCCAAUAAUUAUUUUCUUUUUCCUUUUCCUUUAUUUAUAUAUAUAUCUCUUCUUUUAAUUCACACAAAAUUGUGCAAAUGAUUUAAGACUUUUGUAUGGGAUAAUAAGUCAAUGCCAAGGAGAAAUUUCUAUUUCAUAUAUGUCUAAGAGUCGCCCGACAUCUUAUAUAUCAAAAGGAAAAUAAAAAAUUAAAUGUUAGAAAUAACAUCAUACCCAAAAAAAAAAUAUUUUCUUUUAUAUACCACAAUCAUCUCAGGUGCACACACAUAUUACAUUAUCACACAAACGAAAUUACAAAUCAAAUUUUGAUCUCAGGUAAACUCCCUUUCAGCCAAUGGCUUAAGGCUUGAGUUCAUUCUCUAUUAUUAUUAUUAUUAUUAUUAUUAUUAUUAUUAUUAUUAUUAAGGUUUGAUAUAUAAUGGUUAAUUAGACAUGUUCAAAAUCCAAAUUUUUUUAUUUGGUUACCAACCUUAUUUUGGGCAUAUUCUAGACGGGUCCAAAAGGUUAAAAAUAUUAUUUUAUAUAAUAAUAAAAAUAUUUUUAUAAUUCAAUUUAAAUAAAAUACUAUUGUUAAAUAAUAAAUUGGGCCAGAUCUAAUUUAAUUACAAUUUUCCCUCAAAGCUUAGCUCUUAAAUACACCUACUAUUUGUAAGUCAAACGAUACCAGUUAAACACCGUAAUUAUAAAAAAAUUAAUUAUUAAUAUAGUAAUUAUACUAUUUAUAAUUAUAAAAAAUUCUAAUUUUAAAUAUCUUUCUUUAAAAAAUAAAAAAUAACAAUGUUAAAAAUCAACCACACUAAUUACUCACGUAAUUUCUAUUAUUUUAAAAUUUAUAAAAAGUGUAGUUGAAAUACUUAAAUUUAGUGUGACUUGCUAAUUAAUUUUUUUUAAUGAGAUAUUGUGUAAUGUCAUUCUGAGUUUUGUACAGGGGUAGAACAUGGCAUUCAAUUUUUUAAUAUUUUGGGGUAUAAUUAAAAUUUUGAAAAAAUUAAAGAGAUUUUUUAAAAUUUUAAAUAACUUAAUUAAAAUUUUUAAAACUUUUAUAUAAUUUAAUUAAAAUUUUAAAAACUUUUAAGAGGUCUAAAUAAAAUUUUUAAAACAUUUGAAGAACUUAAUGAUAAUUUUUCAUAUUUUUGAACGGCCAAGGACCCCUAGGCACCUCUAAUAUUCCAUCCGUGGUUCUAUAUUCAAAAUUAGUUAACAAAAUUGAUUUAAUAUGUAAUUUCAAUAAUGAUUGUUAUACCACAUUUGCAAGUUCUCUCCAUGUGUCUCUAGCAGGCGAAUUACAUAUUGUAUGUGCGUCUUUGUCGGGAAGAUCUCAUGUCGAGCCAACCUUAGACCAUAGUCAAUGUUGUGGCCAGUCCUAGUUAGACCACCUUCCAAAGCGCAUUUGGAGUAUAGACUCAUUGAUUAUUUAAUUGUUAUAAAAUGUCAUUGUUGAAAAAAUCAAUUUAGAAAACAAUAUUUUUAAGCACAAGGAAGUUUAAAAAUUUUCUUAAAUCCGAGCCUUAUGAUAUUUAUAAUAAUAAAUUUUUAAUCGAAAUUAUACAUGUUCUCUUUAUGAAGGCAAUCUAGGUUCUUUCUCGGCUUUCAACCGAUUGAUCUUCUUAAUUAUCCUCAAAUCCCAAAUUGCUCGAGUGUGGGCACAAACAAAUCAAACCAAGUGCACGUAAUAAAUUUUUUUUCUUAAAACUUUUAGUGAGAAAGUUAAUUAUUUCCAUAAAUGGAAACUAUGAGCUUUGCCCCCCCCCAAAAAAAAUUUAUUCUUAAAAAUAAAUUAACAAUAUUUUCCAACAGAAUAACGAUGCUAUCAAAGUUGUGUAUAGGUUAACUCAUAGUUCUUAUUUGUAGAGAAACGGUAUGAGGAUUCUAUUCAAAUAAAGUAUAAUUAAAUAAUAAUAUUUUAAUAGAAAAUAAAAAUUCUACUCUAAAUAGAAUACAAGGGGAUGGCAUCCCUACGGUAUCUAGGGUUUGCGCCCUCACAUUAAAACUUAGCCUUAUUGGGUCAUUCGCGUAUUGAGUAUAUUUAUAUGUAUUAUCUGGUCUUUUGUCUAAGGCUUAUUAUUUAUCCAACCCAUUAAUUAUUUUUUAUUUCUCAAAAUAGUAAUUAUUUAAUUUAUUAAUUUAAUAAAUUAAUUAAAUUAAAUUAAAUUAUCAUCCCAAUUCUAAUGCCAUUAAAGUAUUGACAACUUUACCCCACUUCCCAUUCCUAUUAAAAUAGGAAUGGGACUCCUACUUUUUUCGACGGCAACAAAAAAUUUUCGUCGUAUGUGGGCUUUUCCCAAUAUUUUAUUGUUAAGUAUAGUUAUGAUUUUUUUGCUCGAUCUAUCUAUUCAACAAAUAAAUGGAAGUUCUAUCUAUCAAUAUGUAUGAUCUUUGUAACACCCCAAACCCGGCCUAGAAGUCUAGACCGAAUUUGAAAUGCUACAUUGAUCACAAAAGUGAUCGUGUAAAAAUUUUACAAUUCAAGUUGUUCAGAAAUCAAAAACUAAUACUCCGUACUAUUGAAACUGUUCGAGACCUCCGCGUACUGAGUUCAGCAUCUAGAAUUCAGAACUGUACCUGAAAGGGGAAACAGAAGAGGGGGUGAGCUACUCGAGCUCAGUAUGAGAUCAAACCAAUUAAACUACAAAAGAGAAGCCAGGAAACUAGAAGCAAUUCAGAAAUAGAACAUACUUAUAAACCAACUAAAAUAAAUACAAACCAUAUGUAACUUUACAGUCAUAUGGCUCUGUCAUACACAUUAACAACAACUCCCAGUAGUCACAAACUGGGCCUAAGCCCUUUUCUAGAAUCAGUAUUAAUUUUCAGUUGGGGCUAAGGCCCUUCUCAGUAACUAUCCAGUCAGACAGUAGCAUAUCUACGGAAUCCUCUUAGGCAUAAGAUCCUUUCAGUCAAUAAAUCAAUCACAUCCAAAUACAGUAUUACGUUCAGUCAAACAUAUUAUUCAGACAUCUUUAUCGAGCAGUACAGUCACAUUCAGUCACACACAUAUAAUCAGAUGCAUAUGAGUGCAAAUAAGUUAUAGAAUAACCUACCCAUCCAACCAGAACACCAUCUCUGUCCAACCCUACACUUCUUGUGGAGAUUUAAUCAAUCGACCCAUCUCUGCACUUCAAGUAGGACCUCGAAAAGCCUAUCCAACCUUAUACUCUAUAGGAUGUCAUCCUGGGUUUCCCUGCAACGAUGAUCAUCAGCAUUGUCCUCGACCCUCAGGGAAUUGGGACUGCCUUCGACUGUCUGGGAAUUGGGGCUAAUAGUGUACAGAUAAACUACUAGUCUCAUAUAUUACAUAGCAAUGCUAGCGUACAAGCUGUACAAUGCAAUCCAGUAAACCGCAGUACAGACGUACAGUAUGAAUUGCCGAAUCAGAUAAAGGUAUGAAGCGUAGCUAACUUACUUGCGGUACAGUACAAUACGGUUAUCCUCUAUACCAUUAUGAUGUCAUCCCGAUUUGCCCGGCAAUUAUGAUCAUCCGCAUUGUCCACGACUCUCAGGGUAUUGGGACUAUCAAAAUACAGAUAAACUGCCAAAUCAUAAAUCUUCCUUCUCUUUGGCAUCCUGCCCAAAAUAGUUUAUACAUAUGUAUGUAUGUAUGCAGUCAGAUGUACACAACCAGAAUACCAGUCUCAGAUAAUUAAUCAGAAGCAGACAUUCAUAUCUAAUCAAUCAGACAGUACCCAUUGCAUACACAUUCACCCAGUUAAUCGGGUUCAGAAUCAAACAUGUGCACCUUCAUAUCUCGAAUUCAGUAACCACUUAUCACACAACCAAUCACAAAUGCACACAUAUCAAUACCAGAUCAAAGUCAUAAAUACCCACAGAAAGGCUUAGUCGAGGGUUGGAACACACAAAGUCACAUUUUCACUUACCUUUGACCUAAAACCAAAGUUUGGCGAGAUAGGGCCACACGCCCUUAUGCCCCAGCUAUGUGGGGGUCCAAACGCCCAUGUGAAGGGUAGCACAUGGUCGUGUGACAGAGGCACAUGCCCAUGUGAAGUAGGGACAUAGACGUGUAACUCUCUGUCCAAAAUCACUAAAUAAAGUGUAGGGAAGACACGACCGUGUGAGGGUCUCACAUGCUCGUGUGUCUACCAAACACGGCCGUAUGCUCCGAAGCACAUGUCUGUGUGGAAUCUCUAAUCCCCAAAUUAGCCACACGAUCAUGUGACUCCAAAUCUUAAAUCCAUAAUUCCCAAAUUCACACGCCCAUGUGCCCAAGGGACACGACAGUGUGAAAAUCGAUAACUUUCCCCAAAUCGGCCCAAGGUCGUGUGGCACCUAAUUUUGCCUGGAAAUCCUAAUUCUCAAAUCCACACGGUCGUCUGCCUUGUGGCUUUUAGGAGGCCACGAAACCACACCAAAUCAAUUCCAAAACCACCGUUCCAGCCACUGUAACAGUCCCUAGCCUUUACCCUAUCAACAUACAUUAGAAUUUGGAGUAUUCCACUCACUUUCAACAUUCAGAAAACCAAAACCAAAGCGUUUAAACACGCAUACAUGAUAGGUCAUAUCAGAAAUUUGGGAAAACUAAAAUAAUGUAGAGAAGGUUUGAAUCCCACGCCUAUUACGUGAUCAGGGAUGACAACAGAAAAGCAGAAAUCCCGAUGCCAACAGUCCAAAAUCGAUUUUUGAGUAUAUUUGAAAAAGAGUAGAAAAAUAUAAAGCAAAAGAAGAAGAAAAGAAAAGCAGAAACGUGAAAAAGAAAGUGAAAGAAUAAAAAUAAAAAAUAACGUACGCACCCAAAGACUCGAACCCAGAACCCCAAGGUACACUAACACUCCACUUCGUCACUAGACCAGCAGGCCCAUUCUUACACUAAAAUGCAUAACUAAUCACUUAUGUGCAACCUUCUCACUAUCCCUAUGCUCAAAACCCAAAACUUCUAGGCUUAAAAUUCGAGGCGUUACAAUUCUCCCCUCCUUAAAGAAAUUUUGUCCUCGAAAUUUCAAACUAUUAGAGCAGUCAUAAAUCACAACCUAUACCACUACGCUUUCGCUGUACACUCUUAUUCCAAAGACUACCGCACUAAGCUUGAACUUAGGACCACUCACUCACAUUCAGAACACUUAACCACUAAAGCAAAUACACAAUUAUAACAUCAAUCAACACAUCGUCAUAUUCUCCAUAUACCUGACUCAAAAACAUCAAAGACAAUCUCGCACCCAAUGUUCCUUAAACCCACACAUAAGACACGCUCCUGACUUCCACCAACAAUCACCCAAAUGUUGCCUCUUACAAUGCUCACAAGAAGGAAUGCUCGUAUCACUACUAGCACUACCUUUACUAUUACUCAGAUGUGUCCUAGCACACUUCGCAGAACGAGGCUCCAACCUUGGAGAACUGUGAUCUCUCUUCUUCCCACAAUCCGCGCAUCUAGCUUGAAAAGUCUCACUAUUCUCUCUUAUCCUAGCCUCAAACACUUCAUCUGGCACUUCCCUCACUAACCAGGUCAAUGCCUCAGUACUAAGCUUCGAGUUAUCACUACCCGAAGUUGGCAGACUUACAUUGACUUCCUCCUCCUGAACAAUUUCACAUUUUGGAGAAGCAGAAGAAUCCAUACGAUCAUGUUUACCUUUAGAAUACAUAUCAGUAAAAAUCUACACUUUCAGAAUACAAACACAGAAUCAGUACUAAAUCUAAAUUCAAGUAUUUCAGUUUCAAAUUUCUACCUGGUCCAGCAUCGGAGUCUCAGGUAGUUCAUUUUCUUAAAUCAUUUUCAAAUUCAAACCAUUCUAAUUUUCAGUGGUACAAUUUUUUUCAAAGGUUAUUCAAAAUUAUUUAUUUGAGCACAUGUCCACGUAGAAAACACAGGCCAAUUUUUUACAAACUUAGCUCUGAUACCACUAAAGUAACACCCUAAACCAGACCUAGAAGACUAGACUGAAUUUGAAAUACUACAUUGAUCACCAAAGUAAUCGUGUGAAAAUUUUACAAUUCAAGUCGUUUAGAAAUCAAAAACUAAUACUCCACACUAUUGAAACUAUUCGAUACCUUCGCGUACUGAGUCCAGCAUCUAGAAUUUAGAAUUGUACCUGAAAGGGGAAAUAGAAGAGGGGGUAAGCUACUCAAGCUCAAUGUGAGAUCAAACCAAUUAAACUACAGAAGGGAAGCCAGAAAACUAGAAGUAGUUCGGAAAUAGAGCAUACUUACAGACUGACUAAAACAAAUACAGACCAUAUGUAACUUUACAUUCAUAUGACUCUGUCAUACACAGUAACAACAACUCCCAGUAAUCACAAACUGGGCCUAAGCCUUUUUCCAGAAUCAGUAUCAGUUUUUAGUUGGGGCCUUAACCCCUCUCAGUAACUAUCCAGUCAGAUAGUAGCAAUCAUAUCUACGAAAUCCUUUUAGGCACAAGAGCCUUUUAGUCAAUAAGUCAAUCACAUCCAAAUAUAAUAUUACGUUUAGUCAAACAUAUCAUUCAGACAUCUUUAUCGAGCAGUACAGUCACAUUCAGUCACACACAUACAAUCAGAUGCAUAUGAGUGCAAAUGAGUUAUAAAAUAACCCACCCAUCCAACCAGCACACCAUCUUCAUCCAACCCUACACUUCCUGUAAGAAUUUAAUCAACCCACCUAUCCCUGCACUCCUAGUAGGACCUCGAAAAGCCCAUCCAACCUUAUACUCCAUAGGAUGUCAUCCCGAGUUGCCUGACAAUGAUGAUCAUCAACAUUGUCCUCGACCCUUAGGGAAUUAGGACCGCCCUCGACCGUCUGGGAAUUGAGGCUAAUGGUGUACAGAUAAAUUGUCAGCCUCAUAUAUUACGCAGCAAUGCUAACGUAUAAACUAUACAGUGCAAUGCGAUAAAUCGCAGUACAGACGUGCAGUAUGAACUGCCAAAUCAGAUAAAGGUACGAAGCUUACAUAACGUACUUGCGAUACAGUGCAAUGCGGUUUUUCGCUGUACCAUUAUGAUUUCAUCUCGGGUUGCCCAGUAAUGAUGAUCAUCCGCAUUGUCUAUGACCCUCAGGGUAUUGGGACUAUCAGAAUGCAGAUAAAAUGCCAAAUCGUAAAUCUCCCUUCUCUUCGACAUCUCGCCCAAACUAAUUUAUGCAAAUGUAUAUAUAUAUGCUGUCAGAUGUACACAACCAGAAUACCAGUCUUAGAUAAUUAAUCAAAAUCAGACAUUCACAUCCAAUCCAUCAGAUAGUACCCAUUGCACACAUACUCACCCAGUUAAUAGGGUUCAGAAUCAAACAUGUGCACCUUCAUAUCUCGAAUUCAGUAACCACUUAUCACACAACCAAUCACAAAUGCACACAUAUCAAUCCCAGAUCAAAGUAAUAAAUACCCUAAAAAAGGCUUAGUCGAGGGUUGGAACACACAGAGUUGCAUUUGCACUUACCUUUUUACCUAAAACCAAAUUUUGAUGAGAUAGGGCCACAUGCUCAUGUGCCCUGGCCGUAUGGAGUAACCCAAGCCGUGUGGGGGUCCAAAUGCCCUUGUGAAAGGUAGUACACGACCAUGUGACAGAGGCAUACAUUCGUGUGAAGUAGGGACACGCCCGUGUGAACAGGCCGUGUAACUCUCUAUCCAAAAUCACUAAAUAAAGUGUAGGGAAGACACGACCAUGUGAGGGUCUCACACGCCCGUGUGCCCGCCAAACACGACCAUGUGCUCCGAAGCACACGCCCGUGUGGAAUCCCUAAUCCCUAAAUUAGCCACACUACUGUAGGGCCAGGCCGUAUGACUCCAAAUCUUAAAUCCCUAAUUCUCAAAUUCACAUGUCUGUGUGGCCAAGGGACACGGCCGUGUGAAAAUUGACAACUUUCCCUAAAUCAGCCACACGGCCGUGUGGCCAGGCUGUGUGGAACCUAAUUUGACCCAAAAACCCUAAUUCCGAAACCCACACGGCCGUGUGCCUUGUGGCCUUCAGGGAGGCCACGAAACCACCCCAAAUCAGUCUCAAAACCACCGUUCCAGCCACCGUAACAGUCCCUAGCCUUUACCUUAUCAACAUACAUUAGAAUUUAGAGUAUUCCACUCAUUUUCAACGUUCAGAAAACUAAAAUCAAAGCAUUUAAACAAACAUACAUGAUAGGUCAGAUCGAAAAUUUGGGAAAACUAAAAUAAUGUAGAGAAUGUUUGAAUCCCACACCUAUUACGUGAUCAGGAAUGAUGACAAAAAAGCAGAAAUCCCGAUGCCAACAAUCUAAAAUCGAUUUUUGAGUACAUUUGAAAAAGAAUAGAAAAAUAGAAAGCAAAAGAAGAAGAAAAGUAAAGUAGAAAUAUGAAAAAGAAAGUGAAAGAAUAAAAAUAUAAAUAUAAAUAAUUAAUUAAUUAACUAAAACAAACCCAACAUCACUUUAAAAAACUAAAAAUAAAAAAUAACAUGCGCACCCAAAGACUCGAACUCAAAACCUCAAGGUACACUAACACUUCACUUCGCCACCAGACCAAGAGACCCAUUCUUACACAAAAAUGCACACCUAAUCACUUAUGUGCAACCUUCUUACUAUCCCUAUGCUCGAAACUCAAAACUUCUAGGGCCAAAAUUCGGGGCGUUACUAUUUUGGACCAUAAAAAAUGACUUUUCUUUCAAGUUUGGCUAUUUAAUUGGCUCACUUACCUCUAUUAUGUCAAUAUUAAUCACUAUUGUUGGAAUUCCAUGAGAAUAUUAAUUUAAUUAUCUUAUUCAACAAAUCUGUGAUGAUCGUUUAAUUUAAUUCUUACUUCAAACUUCAAUUGUUUAAUUAAAAUCAUUUAAAUAAUAAUUCAAAAAAAUUAAAUUAAUUUUUAAGUCAUUUUUUGUACUUAGCGAGAAAAUGCAUUCACUGCAAAUAAUUAUACAUGUGAUCUAUUUCUCUUACUUAUCAUUUACAUUCAUUCCACAGUUUAUCGAAUCUAUAUGAAAUCUGUUCCGGGUUAUCCUUAUCUAGUGGAGGGAUUGAUUGGACAUGUAUAAUUAGGGUACAAAUAAUUUUUAAUUAAGUUCUGACUCUUGGCCUAUUACUUACUACUCAUUCAAUCAUGGAGUCAUAAAACUAUAGUACCAUGACUAAACUUUUCCUUAUUAUAUACCAUUGCAAAAUCUAUUUUAUUAAGUGUUCAUCCAAUUACCUUGGCAUAAAUGUGUUAGCCUUACAUGAUAUCCUUAAUCUCUUUGGGAUAAAAUUUUUUCUCUCGAUAUGAUCCUAUUUUAUCUUAUGGUUUUCGUUACAUCUACAUAUAUGAAAAAAUCAAUUACUAACACAUAGUAAUUAAAUCAUUUAUCUUAUGAAAAAUGACUCGUGGCCACAUUUUUUUUUCAUUAAUCAUGUAAUGUCAAUGAGAAAAUAUCAUUUACCCUUCUAGAGCUAUGAUUCCAUUGUUGAGGAAUGAUGCUAUAUCAUGUAGAAGCCAUGUAUGCAAUGUACCAACUUUUGGUUCCUUAUCUAUUUGAACUCAGACUUUUAUUUACAUUAAAAUAAACGAGUCACACAUACGUAGGCCAUCACCUACUUAGGAUUAAGAUAUUCUACACUAUGAACGUCACAAGUGAAUAAAUCUAUAAACAAGUCUAGGAUAAAUUCAACUUAGGUCCUGUCCAAUGUAUUGUCAGUCUAGACAAUACCAUCAAUGUCUUUAUCUUUUGGGAGUCAUUCGCUCUGAUGUUGAAAAACAAGACAUGUCCCUAAUUGGACUUGAUAGAUGACAUAAUAGUCUUUCAGUCGAUUUGCUUAGUUUCGAUUAGACCACAAACUGUUUAGAUUAUCUACUAAUAUAAAUUGUAUACACACAUUAUGAUCCAACUACCUAAUGCAAUUUAAUACUAGUUAAACGUUAGAUAAUCAAUGAUCCAAUAUUUACUUACAUUUUGCUUUGCAAGCAAAAUCUGACCAGGAUAGUUUCAAAUGAUAUUAUUUUGCAAUAAAAUUUUAUUUAAAUCAAUUUGUUCAAAAAUUUACAAUUAUAAGUUGACGAAUAUAUUACAAUUAAGGCACUAAAUCCUAAUUGUCAUAUCCUUGACCUAGGACGUCAUGUCACCACCACGACAAGGAGAAAAGGUAUAACCCUGUUGUCAACAAGCCUAGUGUCGAUAGGCCAAUUUGUCCGGCCCCUUUUGAAACCCAAAAUAAACCAAGAAAAAAGAAUAAACAAAACAGUCCAUUAAUAUUCUAUUUACAGCCCAAUACCUAAGCCCAAUUACAUGACCCUAUAACUAAUACCCUAGCCCAGUUACAAAACAGCCCAAAGCUCCAAGACCCAAAUGGCCCAGAAACUGAGCCCAAUUUCUAAGCCCAAUUACAUGACCCUAUAACUAAUACCCUAGCCCAGUUACAAAACAGCCCAAAGCUCCAAGACCCAAAUGGCCCAGAAACUGAGCCCAAUUUCGGUAAACCCUAGGGCAAAGGUCUCCUCGCUCCGCAGCCCUCACUGGCGGCCUAACCACGCAGUAGUCCCAGCCUCCACACCUCCGUGCGGCCUCCUGGCACCACGCCCACGCCCCGUACGCCAGCACAUGGCUGCGUACCCGAGCGCACACCCGUACCUGCAAGAACACAGACAGAGCAGUAGCCAAUACCAAAGCAAAGAAAAAACUUGUAUUUUUCUUUAUUUUUUUUUGAACAUUCAACUAUAAAAGCCUACUAUCUUCGAUUGUAAACUUUUUUUUGAAGGAGGGACACAAGCACAUUUCUACACACUGAAUACAAAAAAACGCGAAAAAAAAGGAAUAUACACAUACAAUAGCAAUCGAAUACAGAGGUUGAAUAUUCUUCAAAGGUGGUUCCUUUUUAUUUUUUUUACGCCUCCAUUUUUCCAUUUCUGCUUCGAAAUCUAUCAAAAACGCAAAAAGAAAACGAAAGAGGAGUUUACCUUGCGAAGCUAGCCGUCGUUUCCCCUUCACUUCGUCGAAAUCGAAGUCUGAAUGGGGUCUCAAGGGCCAAAACCACUCUUUUAGGGCUCGAACGCGCAGAUCGUUGUUCGUGUGGCACAUUAGUGCCGAGGGUAGCAUUUUGGGGUUAAUUGGGCAGCAAAAGGGGGAGGUUGAUACACUGCUAGGGUUUCGGCUGAAUGAAAACCCACUUAGUCUUUUAAAGAAGCAAAAACGGCACCGUUUAGGUCAAAUGUAACGGCCAAAAAAGACGUCAUUUGAAACUUUGCCCGGCGACCCGACCCAAUGGCCCCUGGGAUCCGCGCGUUUUCGCGGUGAGGGGUUAAUUUUCUUUAAAUCCCUCCCUUUUUGCGCCACGUUUAGAUCGGCC
This 24247-nucleotide long non-coding RNA is filed under the name Gossypium barbadense (sea-island cotton). RNAcentral's name for it is "long non-coding RNA (GBAR_LNC009317)". The record is from RNAcentral. Lineage: Eukaryota; Viridiplantae; Streptophyta; Magnoliopsida; Malvales; Malvaceae.